This 207-nucleotide ribosomal RNA is filed under the name uncultured bacterium. RNAcentral's name for it is "partial 16S ribosomal RNA". It matches the Rfam family "Bacterial small subunit ribosomal RNA", at positions 568 to 774 of the family's 1533-position model. The record is from RNAcentral.
CGCGUAGGUGGUUGAUUAAGUCGGAUGUGAAAUUCCCGGGCUUAACCUGGGUCGGUCAUUCGAUACUGGUCAACUAGAGUAUGGUAGAGGGUAGUGGAAUUCCUAGUGUAGCGGUGAAAUGCGUAGAUAUUAGGAGGAACACCAGUGGCGAAGGCGACUGCCUGGACUGAUACUGACACUGAGGUGCGAAAGCGUGGGUAGCGAACA